UUGAUCUCAAAUCAGGUAGGACUACCCGCUGAACUUAUAUUCAUAUCAAUAAGCGGAGGAAAAGAAACUAACAAGGAUUCCCCUAGUAACUGCGAGUGAAGCGGGAAGAGCUCAAAUUUAAAAUCUGGCGUGCCUCUGGCCGUCCGAGUUGUAGUCUGGAGAAGCGUUUUCCGUGUUGGACCGUGUAUAAGUCUCUUGGAACAGGGCGUCAUAGAGGGUGAGAAUCCCGUCUUUGACACGGACUACCAAUGCUUUGUGAU
Molecule: ribosomal RNA, 260 nt
Filed under: uncultured fungus
Lineage: Eukaryota; Fungi
Description: partial 28S ribosomal RNA
Rfam family: Eukaryotic large subunit ribosomal RNA
Source: RNAcentral